AGCAGCCGCGGUAAUUCCAGCUCCAAUAGCGUAUAUUAAAGUUGUUGCAGUUAAAAAGCUCGUAGUUGAAUUUCAGGCCUGGCUGGACGGUCCGCCCUUCGGGUGAGUACUGUCUGUGGUCGGGUCCUACCUUCUGGCGAAGCGUCAUGGCCUUAACCGGCCGUGGCGGGGAACCAGGACUUUUACUGUGAAAAAAUUAGAGUGUUCAAAGCAGGCAAUCGCUUGGAUACAUUAGCAUGGAAUAAUGGGAUAGGACAAUGGUUCUAUUUGUUGGUUUCUAGGACCGUUGUAAUGAUUAAUAGGGAUAGUUGGGGGCAUUAGUAUUCAAUUGUCAGAGGUGAAAUUCUUGGAUUUAUUGAAGACUAACUACUGCGAAAGCAUUUGCCAAGGAUGUUUUCAUUAAUCAAGAACGAAAGUUAGGGGAUCGAAGACGAUCAGAUACCGUCGUAGUCUUAACCAUAAACUAUGCCGACUAGGAAUCGGGCGAUGUUGAAAAAAUGACGC
This 504-nucleotide ribosomal RNA is filed under the name uncultured Glomeromycotina. Its description in RNAcentral is "SSU rRNA". It matches the Rfam family "Eukaryotic small subunit ribosomal RNA", at positions 569 to 1077 of the family's 1831-position model. Lineage: Eukaryota; Fungi; Glomeromycota. The record is from RNAcentral.